AGGAGAAAGUGGUUUGCAGAAAAGAUGAGGUGCUGGCCUGACCACGGUGCGUGCCCCUUGGUCAACAAACAGAAUCUGAAGAAUCCAGGAAAUCACAAAGGAUUCUAAGAGGUCACAAAGACUGAUGUUAUCAGGCCCCAAAGCUUCUACAUGAGUGUCAAGAGAAAAAAUACCUUGAUCACUCAGGUGCCCUCUCCUCAGUUUUUCUCUGUCCAGGCUUGAAGAACUAUAACCAUUUCCAAGUUCUAAAAGGACAGGUGGGGGAGUUAUUUGUUUGUUUAUUUGUUUGUUUUGAUUUCAGAAAGAUGUGAACUCCAGGAUCUCUUGAGAGACUGCCAGAGCCAGCAGCCCCAAGGAUACUUCGAACAGUGGGCACUGGUGCAAUUCUAUAAAAAGAAACCAGAAACCAUUUAGAUGUGUGUCAGGAAGAAGCACUUCCAGAUGCUUGAGGAAAGAUGCAAGAUAGCAAGGUGGGAAUCUGAGAAACAAGGAGUUUAAGGAUUUUGCCAUAAGUCACCUAGAAGACGCAGGGUGAGGAAGGGAUUUGAACCUGAGCAUACUGACUCCAGAGCCCUCUUAGCUGCUCCGUGGAGCAGGGGCUUUCUGCAAAGUAGAGGUUCUGAUCAUCUACUGUUGCAUAAUAAACCAAAAUUUAGUGGUUUAAAAAACGCA
Molecule: long non-coding RNA, 672 nt
Organism: Homo sapiens (human)
Lineage: Eukaryota; Metazoa; Chordata; Mammalia; Primates; Hominidae
Product: long intergenic non-protein coding RNA 2164
Source: Ensembl